GUUCACCAGGGAGAUUAGUUUCAGAGAUAGCGUUGUAAUGAGGUGGAAAAUGGUUACGUUGAUAACAAAAUGGACAGAUCCAGAUCUUAGCGGUGAAAUCAACGCGGGAGUAAGGGUUGAGAAUGGAGGUGCAGGUUUUGCAACGGAGGGGUGCAUAAGGAAGACUGGGGAUAUCGGGAUGAGAACGGAUGAGGGAGAUUGUGGCGGCGAGUGGGAUAACGCAUUUGGAGGAUUCUACUUUGCUACGUGGCCAGACGUUCCAUGUCAUACGGACUCCGUCGAUUCCCUCGGGAUCUGUGUUCGCCAUCUCCGACAUCGUUGAUGAUGAAGAAUUUCACCGAUUUGAUUUUGAUGAAUUUUCAGAACGAUGAUGAUGCAAAGGUUAUACACAGACAAAGAAACACACCCUUUGCACAAUUAUGUUAAACAACGCACAUUCAACGAUCAUUCACCUUUUCA
RNAcentral lists this long non-coding RNA (459 nucleotides) under Medicago truncatula (barrel medic). Its description in RNAcentral is "lncRNA gene17631". The record is from RNAcentral. Lineage: Eukaryota; Viridiplantae; Streptophyta; Magnoliopsida; Fabales; Fabaceae.